AAUGGGCGCAAGCCUGAUCCAGCAAUGCCGCGUGGGUGAAGACGGCCUGCGGGUUGUAAAGCCCUUUAGGCGGGGAGGAACGGCGUCGUGCGAACAGUGCGGCGUUCUGACGUUACCCGCGGAAUAAGCACCGGCUAACUCCGUGCCAGCAGCCGCGGUAAUACGGAGGGUGCGAGCGUUAAUCGGAAUUACUGGGCGUAAAGCGUGCGCAGGCGGUUUGGUAAGACAGGCGUGAAAUCCCCGGGCUUAACCUGGGAACUGCGCUUGUGACUGCCAGGCUAGAGUACGGCAGAGGAGGGUGGAAUUCCACGUGUAGCAGUGAAAUGCGUAGAGAUGUGGAGGAACACCGAUGGCGAAGGCAGCCCCCUGGGCCGCGACUGACGCUCAUGCACGAAAGCGUGGGGAGCAAA
Molecule: ribosomal RNA, 410 nt
Filed under: uncultured bacterium
Lineage: Bacteria
Description: bacterial SSU rRNA
Rfam family: Bacterial small subunit ribosomal RNA
Source: RNAcentral